Balaenoptera acutorostrata (minke whale) is the source of this 494-nucleotide long non-coding RNA. RefSeq lists it as uncharacterized. The record is from RefSeq and is a predicted model, not a curated record. The transcript is spliced from 3 exons. Lineage: Eukaryota; Metazoa; Chordata; Mammalia; Artiodactyla; Balaenopteridae.
UCCAGCCAAUGGCGGCGGCAGCGGCGGACGGCAAGCCGGAAGGCUCAAGCCGCGCAGGGGCCGCGCCGCUCCGGUCCAGCGGUCCUGGAGGGGCGAAGGGGUGUCGCCGUCGUCCUCCCCGCCGCUCCCGCCGUUCCGAGCUCCUUCUCCCUGCUCAGCUAAGCUCCCGGCAACUGGUCCUGAGGACACUGUCCACCGUGCAUUGCUCCCCAGCUCCAUAGAGCUGUCCUGGCACCUGCUCUUCCCGAGUGCCAUGGCAGUCCUGGCUUGACGAUGUAGGGAGAAGAAAACUCCCCUGCCCAACCUGGAGGAGGAGUUGAUGGUGGAAGCAUGACAUCUACUCAAGAAUGAGGAAGAUGGCCUUUUCCCUAUCCCUACAUUUCCUUUGAUUAUAAAACUGUAUCCCACUAAGUUCUCAGGGUGAAGCACCCUCUCACCCACCCACUUGUGAGUCUCACAAGUGUCCCUAUUCUAAUAAAUCAGUUCUUAUUUAC